GACGAACGCUGGCGGCGUGCUUAACACAUGCAAGUCGAACGGAAAGGCCCUGCUUGCAGGGUACUCGAGUGGCGAACGGGUGAGUAACACGUGGGUGAUCUGCCCUGCACUUCGGGAUAAGCCUGGGAAACUGGGUCUAAUACCGGAUAGGAGCCAUUUUUAGUGUGAUGGUUGGAAAGUUUUUUCGGUGUAGGAUGAGCUCGCGGCCUAUCAGCUUGUUAGUGGGGUAAUGGCCUACCAAGGCGGCGACGGGUAGCCGGCCUGAGAGGGUGGACGGCCACAUUGGGACUGAGAUACGGCCCAGACUCCUACGGGAGGCAGCAGUGGGGAAUAUUGCACAAUGGGCGCAAGCCUGAUGCAGCGACGCCGCGUGGGGGAUGACGGCCUUCGGGUUGUAAACUCCUUUCGCUAGGGACGAAGCUUUUUGUGACGGUACCUAGAUAAGAAGCACCGGCUAACUACGUG
RNAcentral lists this ribosomal RNA (465 nucleotides) under uncultured bacterium. RNAcentral describes it as "partial 16S ribosomal RNA". It matches the Rfam family "Bacterial small subunit ribosomal RNA", at positions 28 to 507 of the family's 1533-position model. The record is from RNAcentral.